GACGAACGCUGGCGGCGUGCCUAAUACAUGCAAGUCGAGCGGACGAAUCGAAAGCUUGCUUUUGAUUCGUUAGCGGCGGACGGGUGAGUAACACGUGGGCAACCUGCCCUGUAGACGGGGAUAACACCGAGAAAUCGGUGCUAAUACCGGAUAACACGAAAUGUCGCAUGACGUUUCGUUGAAAGACGGCGCAAGCUGUCGCUACAGGAUGGGCCCGCGGCGCAUUAGCUAGUUGGUGAGGUAACGGCUCACCAAGGCGACGAUGCGUAGCCGACCUGAGAGGGUGAUCGGCCACACUGGGACUGAGACACGGCCCAGACUCCUACGGGAGGCAGCAGUAGGGAAUCUUCCGCAAUGGACGAAAGUCUGACGGAGCAACGCCGCGUGAGCGAAGAAGGCCUUCGGGUCAUAAAGCUCUGUUGUUAGGGAAGAACAAGUAACGCAGUAACUGGCGUUACCGUGACGGUACCUAACGAGAAAGCCACGGCUAACUACGUG
Molecule: ribosomal RNA, 498 nt
Filed under: uncultured bacterium
Lineage: Bacteria
Description: partial 16S ribosomal RNA
Rfam family: Bacterial small subunit ribosomal RNA
Source: RNAcentral